RNAcentral lists this ribosomal RNA (711 nucleotides) under uncultured bacterium. RNAcentral describes it as "bacterial SSU rRNA". It matches the Rfam family "Bacterial small subunit ribosomal RNA", at positions 141 to 851 of the family's 1533-position model. The record is from RNAcentral.
GGAUAACCCGGAGAAAUCCGGACUAAUACCGCAUGGUACUCUUUGCACAGAAGUGUGAAGAUUUAAAGAUGCGAAUCGGUUGCGGACGGUCAUGCGUUCCAUUAGCUAGUUGGCGGGGUAACGGCCCACCAAGGCGACGAUGGAUAGGGGUUCUGAGAGGAAGGUCCCCCACACUGGUACUGAGACACGGACCAGACUCCUACGGGAGGCAGCAGUGAGGAAUAUUGGUCAAUGGGCGAGGGCCUGAACCAGCCAAGUCGCGUGAGGGAAGACGGCCCUAUGGGUUGUAAACCUCUUUUAGAUGGGAGUAAAGUGUUCUACGAGUAGGAUAUUGCAAGUACCAUCAGAAUAAGCAUCGGCUAAUUCCGUGCCAGCAGCCGCGGUAAUACGGAAGAUGCGAGCGUUAUCCGGAUUUAUUGGGUUUAAAGGGUGCGUAGGCGGGUGAUUAAGUCAGCGGUGAAAUGCGUCAGCUUAACUGGCGAACUGCCAUUGAAACUGGUUACCUUGAGUGUAGCGGAAGUAUGCGGAAUGCGUGGUGUAGCGGUGAAAUGCAUAGAUAUCACGCAGAACUCCGAUUGCGAAGGCAGCAUACCAUACUAUAACUGACGCUGAAGCACGAAAGCGUGGGUAUCGAACAGGAUUAGAUACCCUGGUAGUCCACGCAGUAAACGAUGAAUACUCACCGUUUGCGAUAUAAUGUAAGCGGUAAAG